GACCCCUCGGCCUUGAGAGAAGGGUAGGUAUGAACAACAGCUGAAGAUUGGCAGCUAAGAAAGCAGCUACACGCUUCAUUCUAUUACCCUAUCAACCGAUUUUCCCCUCUCUCUCACUGAUUCACCUUCAGUUCUAUCUCUAACAAGAUUUCUCUUCAUUCCAGCAAAUGUCCUCUCUUUUAACUAACCAAUAUGUCUCUUCUGCCGUUGAUGUUUCGUUCACUAGUGAGGCUGAUCAGUGCACUAAUGUCUCAGCCAACUGCCUCAGUCACGACUUUAUUGUACUACAGCAAUCUUCUUCCUAGAAACUUGAAUUUAGAGCGAAUGGUUAGACGUGAAUUGCUCGAUGAAGAAAACCAUUUGUUCCAUUUUCUCAUCAGUUUCUUAAGAUGUUUAUGAGUGUGUGGAUCGAUCUUUUACUACAGUACCUUGCUGGGAUUGGUGAGUUGGAUUUUGUUAUCGGAAUACAUGUCAGAAAUCAAAAAGCCUUAAUACAUGGGUAAAGAUUUUGUACCUCUAGAUGAAUAUCAGGGUAAUUAAAUCUUUUUUUUUUUUUUUUAUCUUCGUUAAGUAGUGCUCCUCUUGCUGUAAGAAUUAGGAUUUUCCAGUUCAUGUAACGUAUUUGAGGCACUGCAUGAUGAUUAGGGAGCAACAUUGUGAUGCUGUGCAUGUACUAGCUUUUUGGGGACUGGAAUAACACAUAUCAGUAAUUAGUGUAUCUGGCCUGGUGUCUAAGACAGAGAAUCUAGCAUGUAAUGCAAUGUGGAUCAUCAACCUUCGAUCUUGUGCCAGGCGCAGUGAGAUUUUUCGGAAUCUAUGUUCAUUAGGUGCCGUCAUAAUGCCAUUAGUCAAAAGACAUCAAAGUUUUUACUUGAGGGUUAUUGUGAUGGUUAUAAAGUAAAAUUCUCUUAUGUUA
Long non-coding RNA from Populus nigra (black poplar), 916 nucleotides. RefSeq lists it as uncharacterized. The transcript is spliced from 4 exons. The record is from RefSeq and is a predicted model, not a curated record. NCBI's taxonomy places the organism in Eukaryota, Viridiplantae, Streptophyta, Magnoliopsida, Malpighiales, Salicaceae.